AGUCAGUAGUAUGUGGUUUACAUAAAGUCGGUUGAACCUGAAUGUGUAUUUAUAAGAACUUGCCUUAGAAUUAAAUAUUCUCCUCAACUUUAGGAAGAUGUACCCUAAUGUUAUUAUUAUUAUUGUUAUAAAUGAAUGUAGAAUGUGGAGAACAAAUUAAUAUGUCUCAAAAGAUUUAAAAAUAUUUAUAAUUAUUAAUGUAGUAAUUCUACCUCAAGAAAUAUAUAUUAAGAAAGUUAUUAUCAAUCAUUGAUAAGCACAAAGUUUUGUGCUAAAAAUAUAUACACCAUAAUAUUAUGUAUAAUAGUGAAAAACUGAGAAGCAAUGUAUAAUAAUGUGAGGUAGUUUGUGUACUUUAUAGCUUAUACAGCAGAAUACCAUGAUUCAAUAAAAAUACUCUUUUACAUAGCAAAACAUAUUAUUAUUUAUAUAGCUUUAGAAAAUGACUGAAAGUACCUGUCUUAGUGUGUUCAGGCAGCUGUGACAAAAGUACCAUAAACUGGGUGACUUAUAAACAAUAGGAAUUUAUUUCUAACAGCUCUAGAGGCUGGCAAGGCCAAGAUCAAGCAGAUGUGGUGCCUGCUGAGUGCCUGUCUCUCGUAGACAGCCUUCUUCUCAUUCUAAGCUCACAUGGCAGAAGGGACAAAGGUGUUCUCUUUGGCCUAUUUUAUAAGGACAUUAAUCCCAUUCAUGGGCUCCACGUUCAUGACCUAAUCACCUCACAAAGACCCCACCUCCUAGUAUCAUCACUUCUUUGGGGUUAGAAUUUCAGCAGAUACAUUUUCAGGAGACACAAACAUGCACACCAUAGCAGAAUAAAAGUUUAUUAAUGAUUUUCUGUAGAAAAUUAGGGAGGUUUUAAUUUUCUUGUAAUGGUCUUCUAUAAUUUCUAUAUUUUCCAAAAUCAAUGAUAGUAGUAAAUAAAUAUUAUAAAAUGUUUCUUUGUUAAGUAUCAACUUUCAUAUUAAGGUGCUUUGGCACAAAGUCAUGUAAUGAUAAUUCAGUACUUUAAAUGUACAUAGCAAAGUUACAUUAAUUACAUUUUCAUAUUAGCAGACUUUGAGUCGGUUGUGAUUAAUUAUAAUAAGUGCCUAAGAACUAAUGUAUUCAUUUAGAAAAUGAAUUAUGCCAUGCAUUUCUCAUCACUAAAAGAGUUUAGAGUUUUGAAAGUGGCUGUAGGAGAGUUUUAUCAAAGAUGAAGGAAUAAGAUUUCUCUUAACUGCUCCAUCAACUCUUCCUCUUAGAAACCAUUUCAGCUCUCCAGAGGCCUACAAAGUCUUCUGUAUUAUGUGAUCUCUUGGGCUUUAGAUUGCUUCUAGAUUACUCUUUCAAUAAACUAAAACACUGCUUCUUGGAAUUACAAAUUUCAGAUGAAAACAACGUGAACAAGCUAAUUACCAAGAGCACUUUAAGCACACUGGUGGAUUUAAACAAUGUGAAUAAGUAAGAUUGUGAUUUGGCUUUGACAAAGGCAGAGUCAAGCUGGCUUUGUCAUGUAAAGGGCCUGAGACGGCCACAUGGUAUGUUUAAUUGAUGUAAGUACCAGAAAAUGGCAUAAAUGAGUACAGAAUUUAGUUUAAGGGCAUGAUAAACAUGGGAAGGAAAGAAAUGAAAAGAACUAAGAUGUGGGUGAAAAUAUUUGGAGGCGAUGAAUUGAUUACAGAUGAUUAUUGAAAGCUGUUGGCCAUAACACUCCCAGAGGCCUCAUUGUACGGGUUCAAGAAACUGUCAUAAGAGAAUUCUGAAAGCCAAGGUAAGCAGUAAGUAUCCAUUAGGUAGUUUCCAUUCUUUCUCUUCCUGAAAACGUUUAUCAUCUCCAGUGUGAUUUGCACAUAUUGAUUAAUUAAUCUCUAAGUGACUAAUUUUUCAUUAUUUGACAGAUAAUUAGAUCUUUCAUAAAUCUGUGUAAUAAAAGCAUGCAGGAAGCAUUGUGAGCCAGUUUAAUAAUUGGCAUUAGUUUUCAAGAAGAAUGUGUUCCAGCUCAGUUGUUUCCUUAUUAGAAAUCAUCCUGUCAGGAAACACUUUAUAGAUAAAGUAAAUGAUCUUGUCUUCUGGAAAAUAUGACAAUGAUUUUUAACACUUGCCAUUUCACAAGAACCUAAGGCUCCUAUGCUCCAAUUACCCCAGUCUCUAUUAAUUCAAAAAAAAUGGGUGUGUCUGAAUUUUAGUGAUGUUAAAAAUAUGAAAACCAUGGGUCAUCUUUCCUUUGAUUCUAAAAGUGAAGAUGCAUAGGGAGGUAGAGGACCUGAUUAUAACAACCAAAGAAUUGGAGAAUAUUUGUUUUGGAAAGGAAUUGAAAGAAGGAUGAGCUCAUAUCCUUUAAUUUACAGAGUAAAAACCUGAAUCUCAUAAAGGUUAAAUGAUAAAUCCAAAGAUACAAAACUGAUGGGAGAGAUUUGAUUACACUAUGGUGCCCCACAGUUACCCACUAGGAACUCACCAGCUCCAAAUUUCACCUCCCUUUAGAAGAAAACUCCAUUUCUUUUUGUAAAAUAUCUUGACAGAUUCUCUCUGAAAUUGUGUACACCACAGACAAUGAUCAAGAGAAGUGAUGGACUUUUACAAUCCCAUUAUUCACUUUAUAUCUUUUCCAAUUUUCUGAAUUUACUGAUCCAAAUCCUAAGUCAGUGGUUCCAAACUGAGAAGCCAUUAAUGUAGAAGUGAGAAGCCAAUAGAAAAUCUUUGAACUAUUUAACAAUCUAAGAGAACUCAUACAUUUUACUAACAGUAUAAAUUAUCACGGAACUUCUGAUUUUCGAAGAGACUAUUAUUAAAGGAGAUUAUAUUAAGUUUUUAAUAGUUUGGUACCUCCAUUUUCUAUUAUGAGUUAAAUAAUCUUUAUGAAAUAUGUAUUAUUGUAUUUUUGUGUAUUUUAUAUUUUAAGGAAAAUGUACUGUGAAACUUUGUAAGUAUAUAAUGUUAAAGUAAACUUUAUUAAUUUUCCUUGGCUUCUUAUAAAAUGUAAGCCUUGAUUCACCCACACUUUUUGGUAUUCUAUGUUGAAAGGAAAAUUUUACUAUACUUAAGUGCUGUUCCAAGGUUAAAUACUCAUACAUAUAUUUAAUGUUCCAAUUCUAGAAAUCAAACUUAAGAAGUAACACUUUUGGUGGAACCACAAACGGAAAAGAGUCUUGGGUCCUGAAUCAUGGUUUGGAGAAGACCUUUAUGCCUAUUAGGAGCCAAAAGCCUAAAACUCUAAACUUAAAACACAAGCAAUAGAAUGUUGAUUCUGUCCUGUCUGCAGUAUACAGGAUUAGCUUUUUCUGUUAAGAUAAAACUAGGAAAUAAAGUUGUGUGUGGAAGCAAUAAAAAUCUGAACUAUUCCUACAUGUAAUUCUAGAAAUUUAUAGGUGCUACAUUUUUUGAAAAUUUUAAUGACAUAUAUAAGAAGGAAAAUCAAAUUAAAAAUUCAAGUUGAUGUUAUCUUUAAAAAAAAGUAAUAGUUCAUCCUGUUCAUUCAUAAUCUAAAUUAGGUAAAAACCAGUGAUAAAAUAUUGUGUGUUAUUUUAAAAUAUAUGUAUAUCUACACAAACGAUAUUAUAUAUACAAAUACUCGUACUCAUGUACACACCCUAUCAUUAAUAAAGCAUCAUUGUUUAAUUUUAGGAAAAAAAUAACUACAAUUGGGAAUAAAAUUGAUUGCCCUAUUACAUCCAAAA
Homo sapiens (human) is the source of this 3659-nucleotide long non-coding RNA. RefSeq annotates it as ANXA10 antisense RNA 1. The record is from RefSeq and is a predicted model, not a curated record. The transcript has 2 exons. NCBI's taxonomy places the organism in Eukaryota, Metazoa, Chordata, Mammalia, Primates, Hominidae.